GACGAACGCUGGCGGCGUGCCUAAUACAUGCAAGUAGAACGCUGAAGGAGGAGCUUGCUUCUCUGGAUGAGUUGCGAACGGGUGAGUAACGCGUAGGUAACCUGCCUGGUAGCGGGGGAUAACUAUUGGAAACGAUAGCUAAUACCGCAUAAGAGUAGAUGUCGCAUGACAUUUGCUUAAAAGGUGCAAUUGCAUCACUACCAGAUGGACCUGCGUUGUAUUAGCUAGUUGGUGAGGUAACGGCUCACCAAGGCAACGAUACAUAGCCGACCUGAGAGGGGGGACGGCCACACUGGGACUGUGACACGGCCCAGACUCCUACGGGCGGCAGCGAUAGGGAAUCUUCGGCAAUGGGCGGAAGUCUGACCGAGGAACGCCGCGUGGGUGAAGAAGGGUUUCGGGUCGUAAAGCUCUGUUGUAGGAGAAGAACGAGUGUGAGAGUGGAAAGUUCACGCUGUGACGGUAGCUUACCAGAAAGGGACGGCUAACUACGUG
Molecule: ribosomal RNA, 495 nt
Filed under: uncultured bacterium
Lineage: Bacteria
Description: partial 16S ribosomal RNA
Rfam family: Bacterial small subunit ribosomal RNA
Source: RNAcentral